AAACGACUCUCGGCAACGGAUAUCUAGGCUCUCGCAUCGAUGAAGAACGUAGCGAAAUGCGAUACUUGGUGUGAAUUGCAGAAUCCCGCGAAUCAUCGAGUUUUUGAACGCAAGUUGCGCCCGAAGCCUUUCGGCCGAGGGCACGUCUGCCUGGGUGUCACGC
RNAcentral lists this ribosomal RNA (163 nucleotides) under Quercus suber. Its description in RNAcentral is "5.8S ribosomal RNA". It matches the Rfam family "5.8S ribosomal RNA". From Rfam's summary of the family: 5.8S ribosomal RNA (5.8S rRNA) is a component of the large subunit of the eukaryotic ribosome. It is transcribed by RNA polymerase I as part of the 45S precursor that also contains 18S and 28S rRNA. Functionally, it is thought that 5.8S rRNA may be involved in ribosome translocation. Lineage: Eukaryota; Viridiplantae; Streptophyta; Magnoliopsida; Fagales; Fagaceae. The record is from RNAcentral. RNAcentral also lists the same sequence under 2 other names.